GAAUUGACGGGGGCCCGCACAAGCAGUGGAGUAUGUGGUUUAAUUCGAAGCAACGCGAAGAACCUUACCAGGGCUUGACAUCCCUCUGACAGGCAUAGAGAUAUGCCCUCUCUUCGGAGCAGAGGAGACAGGUGGUGCAUGGUUGUCGUCAGCUCGUGUCGUGAGAUGUUGGGUUAAGUCCCGCAACGAGCGCAACCCUUACUGUUAGUUGCUACGGAAGAGCACUCUAACAGGACUGCCGUUGACAAAACGGAGGAAGGUGGGGAUGACGUCAAAUCAUCAUGCCCCUUACGCCCUGGGCUACACACGUACUACAAUGGCGCAAACAAAGGGGAGCAAAACCGCGAGGUUGAGCAAAUCCCAAAAAUGCGUCCCAGUUCAGAUUGCAGGCUGCAACCCGCCUGCAUGAAGUCGGAAUUGCUAGUAAUCGCGAAUCAGCAUGUCGCGGUGAAUACGUUCCCGGGCCUUGUACACACCG
This 478-nucleotide ribosomal RNA is filed under the name uncultured Acetanaerobacterium sp. RNAcentral's name for it is "bacterial SSU rRNA". It matches the Rfam family "Bacterial small subunit ribosomal RNA", at positions 907 to 1392 of the family's 1533-position model. Lineage: Bacteria; Bacillati; Bacillota; Clostridia; Eubacteriales; Oscillospiraceae. The record is from RNAcentral.